ACAGAGGUGGUUUAGUGGUAGAAUUCUCACCUUCUAUGUGGGAGACCCAGGUUCGAUUCCUGGUCAAUGUA
This 71-nucleotide transfer RNA is filed under the name Loxodonta africana (African savanna elephant). It matches the Rfam family "tRNA". From Rfam's summary of the family: Transfer RNA (tRNA) molecules are approximately 80 nucleotides in length. Their secondary structure includes four short double-helical elements and three loops (D, anti-codon, and T loops). The record is from Rfam by way of RNAcentral. Lineage: Eukaryota; Metazoa; Chordata; Mammalia; Proboscidea; Elephantidae.